This 601-nucleotide small RNA is filed under the name Pongo abelii (Sumatran orangutan). RNAcentral describes it as "retained intron". Lineage: Eukaryota; Metazoa; Chordata; Mammalia; Primates; Hominidae. The record is from RNAcentral.
GGAUGCCGGCGGUCUCUGCUGAAGAGAGAAGAUGGCGCUUGACGGACCAGAGCAGGUAUGGCGGGUGCAGUGGCGGCCCGGCAGGUUAUGGGGCUGGGUGCGGAGCGAGCGUGAUCUGAGUGGAGAGCGGGCCGGGGCAGGAGCGUCGGGUGGGUCGGAGGUGGCUGGACCAGUCCAGGCUGGACGCUGCCUGCGACCGGAUCUGCUGUGUCAGCGCCACCCUCGGUGAGUCAGGGCAAGGCUGGGAGAGGAAGACGCGGUAGAAGCGGAGUGAGUGAGGGGAGCGAUGGGCGCGGGAAUGGCCGGCCGACGGGUCGCAGGAGACGGGACGCCAGUCCUUUGGCUCCGUUCCGCUGGCUCCGUCGUCAGUACUGACACCUCGGGCUUGUAGAGCACUUCACGCAGUGCAAAGCGCCCCCGUGUAUAUCAUAUCGCCUCUCGGUCUUCCUAAAAGUCGUAUGAGACUCACUCUGUGUCUUCAGAUGGAGCUGGAGGAGGGGAAGGCAGGCAGCGGACUCCGCCAAUAUUAUCUGUCCAAGAUUGAAGAACUCCAGCUGAUUGUGAAUGAUAAGAGCCAAAACCUCCGGAGGCUGCAGGCACA